Molecule: ribosomal RNA, 1066 nt
Filed under: Clostridioides difficile
Lineage: Bacteria; Bacillati; Bacillota; Clostridia; Peptostreptococcales; Peptostreptococcaceae
Description: partial 23S ribosomal RNA
Rfam family: Bacterial large subunit ribosomal RNA
Source: RNAcentral
CGGGGAUGACUUGUGGGUAGCGGUGAAAUUCCAAUCGAGCCCGGAGAUAGCUGGUUCUCCCCGAAAUAGCUUUAGGGCUAGCCUCAAGGUGAGAGAUACGGAGGUAGAGCACUGAAUGUCCUAGGGGGUAUUGCACCUACCGAAGACUAUCAAACUCCGAAUGCCGUCAUCUUAUACUUGGGAGUCAGACUGUGGGUGAUAAGAUUCAUAGUCGAAAGGGCAACAGCCCAGAUCGUCAGCUAAGGUCCCUAAAUGUAAGUUAAGUGGUAAAGGAUGUGGGAUUGCACAGACAACCAGGAUGUUGGCUUAGAAGCAGCCACUCAUUCAAAGAGUGCGUAAUAGCUCACUGGUCGAGUGAUCCUGCGCCGAAGAUUUCCGGGGCUAAAACUUACUACCGAAGCUACGGCAUCAGUAAUGAUGGGUAGGGGAGCUUCCCAUACGGGUUGAAGCAUGACCGUAAGGACAUGUGGACAGUAUGGGAGUGAGAAUGUUGGCAUGAGUAGCGAGAUGUGGGUGAGAAUCCCACAGGCCGUAAACCCAAGGUUUCCAGGGGAAGGUUCGUCCGCCCUGGGUUAGUCGGGACCUAAGCUGAGGCCGAAAGGCGUAGGUGAUGGACAACAGGUUGAUAUUCCUGUACUACCGAUAACCGUUUGAGAGAAGGGAUGACACAGUAGGAUAAGCUAAGCACACUGUUGGUUAUGUGUGCCCAAGCAUUGAGGCAGUCAAAGUAGGCAAAUCCGCUUUGAUAAUGCUGGGAUGUGAUGGGGAGCGAAAUUUAGUAGCGAAGUAGCUGAUUUCACACUGUCAAGAAAAGUCUCUAUCGAGGUUAAAGGUACCCGUACCGCAAACCGACACAGGUGGGUGAGGAGAGUAUCCUAAGGCCAGCGAGAGAACUGUUGUUAAGGAACUCGGCAAAAUGACCCCGUAACUUAGGGAUAAGGGGUGCCACCAUCAGGUGGCCGCAGAGAAUAGGCCCAAGCGACUGUUUACCAAAAACAUAGGUUUCUGCUAAGUCGCAAGACGAUGUAUAGGAGCUGACGCCUGCCCGGUGCUGGAAGGUUAAGGG